RNAcentral lists this ribosomal RNA (253 nucleotides) under uncultured bacterium. RNAcentral's name for it is "partial 16S ribosomal RNA". It matches the Rfam family "Bacterial small subunit ribosomal RNA", at positions 524 to 776 of the family's 1533-position model. The record is from RNAcentral.
UACGAAGGGGGCUAGCGUUGUUCGGAAUCACUGGGCGUAAAGCGCACGCAGGUGGCUGAGUCAGUCGAUUGUGAAAGCCCUGGGCUUAACCUGGGAAUUGCAGUCGAUACUACUCAGCUAGAGUAUGGGAGAGGGCAGUGGAAUUCCCGGUGUAGCGGUGAAAUGCGUAGAUAUCCGGAGGAACACCGGUGGCGAAGGCGGCUUCCUGGACCGACACUGACGCUGAGGCGCGAAAGCUAGGGGAGCAAACGGG